GAAUUGAAUUGAAUUGAAUUGUUUUUGAUGCUGUGAAUGACAAACUAGUUUGGUGAAUUGAAUUGUUAUUGUCAAGUAUGUUUGAUGAUGCAUUGCAAACUGAGUUGGUCAUUUGGGGAGUGAGAAAGAUAGAAAUUGAUAUCACACUAUCAUUUAGUUGAAAACAGUAUCAUUUAUUCCUGCUUUAUUCUGCUUAGAAAUUUCUGUUCCAGAGAAUCUAGAUUUUCAUCCUCAAACAAAGUGGGUAGGGGGAAAAAAGAAAGAAAGAAUCUUGUGAAAAUUCAUCUUUCUGAUUAUCUGGACUGUCAUCAAACAGACUGGUCCUGGAAUGAGUUGUGUAAUCUUGUAUAAAUUGUGUUCAUUUUUGCGACUUUAUACUAAACAAGGAAAGAUUACAAUCAAUAAAUAUCUUAUCAAAUAUGAUAUGAUGCUGGCCUAAUUAUAUGAAGAUGCCUUUGAAAUAAAUGGAAAUCUAAGAUUACUUGCUUCAAAUCCAUCAUCAAUACCACCCGCUGUCUCAUACUGCCAUCACCAGCCAUAUAUUCUGCCAUUAUGAGAUUUUGGUGAUUGUCUCAGCAAGCAUUUUAGAUUGUCUUCAUACCAAGGGUCCUUAGAUAUGGACGCUUCUUAGCCACUCUUAACUCUAUUGCCACCUCCUCCUUCGUGGGGGAUUCAUCCCCACUCCUGUUCAAGCAUCUUUUUGUUAACUCAUCAGCCACUUGUCUAA
Molecule: unclassified non-coding RNA, 727 nt
Filed under: Hevea brasiliensis (rubber tree)
Lineage: Eukaryota; Viridiplantae; Streptophyta; Magnoliopsida; Malpighiales; Euphorbiaceae
Source: RNAcentral